RNAcentral lists this long non-coding RNA (1821 nucleotides) under Fukomys damarensis (Damara mole-rat). RNAcentral describes it as "lncRNA (ENSFDAG00000033163.1)". Lineage: Eukaryota; Metazoa; Chordata; Mammalia; Rodentia; Bathyergidae. The record is from RNAcentral.
AUGCAAGUUUCUUCUGGAAAGAGCCGCCCUCUUGACACGCUCCCUGCCACCCGGCCACACGGGACGGGGACCUCUGCGCGAUGGGUGGAAAGGGGUGCAGCUGGACCAGGGCGCCUCCCACGAAGGGGGGACCUGCCCGACACCUCCGGUGGCGGGGACAGGGCCUCCUUCCCCCUCGCCCCACGCUGCCUCCAUGAAGCUGUUGCUGCGCCCCUUCCCGGGUUCUCAGAAUUUGUCAGAGAAGCUCUGCGGGGGGAAGCGCUACCCAGGGGUUGGCGCGUGGACCUGGCGUGGGACCGGCCUGUCCGGAACGCCUCCUCAGCUGUCCUUCCUUUAUCACGGAUCCAAGUCCUGCUUUGUGCCAGGCACUGUGUGUGCCCCGAGCCAGGGCUGCAGCCUGGACAUCACAGCGCAGCCGUGACCGCCCACCUGGCAGCUCCCCUCAGCGACAUGCAGCAGCACGGAGCUCCGACGAGGAGGCGCACGCUGAACAAGUCACCUGAACAUCCACACGUUCUCACCAUAAAUCUGGCUAAAAGAAGCAAAGAGUAUCCAUGCUGCAGCCUGAAUCCUCCACAGCCAACAGGGAAUUCUCCAGGACCCACUGCCUCCUCAAAGCUACCACCAGGAAGCAGGAUGCAGGUCCCUUUGCUGAGCCAUCCAAGGACCACUGGGGUGUCUGGUGUCAACCCUGCAAGGACACAGCUCUGCUUGGAGGUGAGGGAAGAGCAGAAGCUCUGGACAGUGUGUCCUCAUAUCUGCACACCUGGUGCAGCUAUCCCCUUCCUGACCUGAUGCCUGAUCCAUCCGGACUGGGUGAGACUGCAUGAGCCUUCCCUGACCAUGCCCCCAUCAGUCCACAGGUAGAUGGACACAUAGCUAUCUCCCAAGUUUAACAUCUUUAGUCACCAUCAUGCAGCUGGAUGGCCGAGGAGCAUUCUAGGUUUAAGCCAUGAGCCUGCCCUCACCUCUCUCACAACCCCAGGAGAGGGAUGGAAGAUGCAGCCACCAGAGGGGCCAACGCGGAGUACUCAGUGCCUCAAGUGUCCCCUCCUAUGAGCUCAGGCUCACAGCCAAUGUGUGGAUGGCACAGCGGGAAGUGGCUUCUUCCUCUUCCAAGGAAGUGGGGAAGACAACAGUCUUUCUCCACUCCACUUGGCUCCCUCUGUCCCGUAGGGCCAAACUCCUUCCACAGAAGUCCUUGGGCUCUGCUCUGACGUCUCCACCUGCCUGCACAGUUGAAGCUUGACUCAGAAUAGGAGACUGUGGCAGAUAGACUGUUUCCCUACCUCCACUGCCUGUCACCUCUGUCACUUUACUUAAAACUCCAAACCACUGCGGGGGCGUGGUGGCGCAUACCUGUAAUCUCAGUGCUGAGGAGGCUGAGGCAGGAGGGUCUCUGUGAGUUCAAGGCCAGCUUGGGCUACACAGCUUGAAUUACAUAGGGAGACUGUCUCAAUAUUACAUACUUCAAACAUGUACUAAUAAAAACAAAUAAAUAUAAAUAGACAUGGAGAGAAAUAAUACAGUAGAGCAGAAGGACCAUAAAAAGAAAAACAAAAAACUGAGCCAUUGUUUAUUUGUAAAACUGGAGCCACGUUCACACUUCCUUCCCAAUACAUCAGACCAGAUGCUGCAUAUAAAGUUCUGAGGCAGGUCAAUAGAGAGAAGUUAUUAUUGUGUGCUGCUGCUCCUCUUCCUCCAUCUCCUCCCCGUUCCUUCUCCCCUACCUGCUUGCCUCCCUCUCCUCCAUCCCCUUCUCCUCCUCUUCCUCUUCCCCCUCCUCUACCUCCUCCUCCCACCCUCCUCUGUGCCCUCCCC